RNAcentral lists this long non-coding RNA (1690 nucleotides) under Chlamydomonas reinhardtii. RNAcentral's name for it is "long non-coding RNA (CREI_LNC000739)". Lineage: Eukaryota; Viridiplantae; Chlorophyta; Chlorophyceae; Chlamydomonadales; Chlamydomonadaceae. The record is from RNAcentral.
GUGCCACGCAUCUAGCUCGGAAUGUGCCAUAUUUGGCCCACUUUUGGCCCAGACCGCUACAGGGCUUCCUAGGCGCCCGCACUUGACAAAUUAUUGAUAUAUACACUAUAUAUGAUUAUUGCACGGGUUGGGGAUCAAAAGGGCGCGCUGGGCGAGUGGAUUCUGGGGGCCGGGUUUUGGGGGGGAAACUGAGGGGCGACCCCAAAUUGGCCCACCGGGCCGCGAGACGUUUUGGUCAUCCCUGCCGGCGAUUUGUCGAUUUCGAUACCCUAUAGAUGUCAUAUGAGGAUUGUUGCAACCGUCCGGGCAGGAUUGGGAGUGUUCUGGGUGCACAUCGCUCCUUAAAUGCUCAACAUGUUGUUUUGUUUGUCGUCUGCAGGCGCAUUCUGGCGUGCACUAAUCACCAAAGGACAAACAUCAACAGAUGCUAAAUGCGCAAACCAGUUAGCCUGAAGUCCGUCUGCUCCACACGCCAUAUCUCGCAUAGGCGGUGUUUUGUUCCUAGAUUUCAUGCCGUCGAGUUAUCUGCACACUAAGAUGUAAGCUAGAUAGCUUUGAGCCGAAUUGGCGGGGUCCUAGCAAGCUCGACAUGUGACAUUUUGACUUCGGUUCUCACUAACAUUCAUGUCCAGAAACUGUUCAGAGACCUUUAUGUAUGUCACAUGAUGCCAUUUCGAUGCUAUAGGGGCCUGUACUCAUGCAGUCCCCAGGCACUCGCCGGAGUGGCAUCCGCCGCACCGAGCCCGGCAGGGCCAGCCCUUGUUUGCCCAUUCAAGCUUGCAAAGCUAUCACUUACACGUAAAGGAUAAUUUAUAUGCAGCGAACCGGGUUGUCAGGCAGGCUUUCGAGAACCAGGGCGUGGGCCCUGCCAAAUAAUCGGGCGGGCGCGCAGGGUCAUUUUCGGGGACUGGUCGGGAAUCGCCCUCUUACUGGCCUCCCAGUCCUUGGAUAAUCCUAAUAUAAUAUAAGCAUGCAAAAUUAAAUCAGGCAGGCUCUGAAUCCGUGCGGGCCAGCCGCACGGGCAAGUGGGCCAAAUUGGGGUAGGCUGGCAAUUAGGCACAUUCCGAGCUACGCAGUGUAGACGGUUUUGGCCGGUUUUGGCGCAAAAAUGGGGGAAGCGUAGACGUUUUGGGGGGCUUGGGGGCUUACGCGUAGAUGCCGCGGUCAGGGUCAUCUACGCAUGUGUAGAUGCCAAGUGCCUGAGGGCAUCUACAAGAUACGAGCACUGGGCAGUGGUAGUACGGUCGGACGGUGAACCUGACACGACAGGCGUCGCAGGUAACGUAGCAGUUGCGGUCGCUGCUCAUGCUCACGCUUUUCUUUUUGCUUGUGCUAGCUCACUGGCCUCGGCUCUACAACGUCAUGUUCGCUUGUGCGUGUUGCGUUUUUGGGCUGAGCCCCCCCAGCGAAGCGUUCCAAGGGGGGGGGCGAAGCCCCCCAGGAACACCCCUGUCCGUGGCUCGAAGAAAAGCGCUACCUCUUCGUCAGUGGGGCGGCAGGGCAGGCGGCGGGGCAGGAGGCGGGGCAGGCGGCGGGGCAGGAGGCGGGGCAGGCGGCGGGGCAGGCGGAGGCGGCGGGGCCGGCAGAGGCGGGGUCCCGGGGCGCGGUGCACGUGCUGUGGCACUACCACUUCUCCGCCUUCCGCCGAAAGCGCUGGGCUGCGUUCAUCCAGCGCGACCGCGCGCUCCAC